This 129-nucleotide transfer RNA is filed under the name Actinomycetota bacterium. RNAcentral's name for it is "tRNA-Glu". Lineage: Bacteria; Bacillati; Actinomycetota. The record is from RNAcentral.
GGCGUGGUCGUCGCGGUGGUCGUCAAACCCGCAAACCGGGGGCGCGGCGUCCCACAACUAUGGCGCUUUUCCCGCCUAGGACAUCGCCCUCUCACGGCGAAAACCCGGGUUCGAACCCCGGUGGGGUCA